RNAcentral lists this ribosomal RNA (458 nucleotides) under uncultured bacterium. RNAcentral's name for it is "bacterial SSU rRNA". It matches the Rfam family "Bacterial small subunit ribosomal RNA", at positions 47 to 507 of the family's 1533-position model. The record is from RNAcentral.
CUUAACACAUGCAAGUCGAGGGGUAUAGUAGCAAUACUAGAGACCGGCGCACGGGUGCGUAACGCGUAUGCAACCUACCUUUUACAGAAGGGAUAGCCCAGAGAAAUUUGGAUUAAUACCUCAUAGUGUUAUUAGAUGGCAUCAUUUGAUAACUAAAGUUCCAACGGUAAAAGAUGGGCAUGCGUCCUAUUAGCUAGAUGGUAAGGUAACGGCUUACCAUGGCUACGAUAGGUAGGGGUCCUGAGAGGGAGAUCCCCCACACUGGUACUGAGACACGGACCAGACUCCUACGGGAGGCAGCAGUGAGGAAUAUUGGACAAUGGGCGCAAGCCUGAUCCAGCCAUGCCGCGUGCAGGAAGAAGCAUCUAUGGUGUGUAAACUGCUUUUGUACGGGAAGAAACACUCCUACGUGUAGGAGCUUGACGGUACCGUAAGAAUAAGGAUCGGCUAACUCCGUG